Molecule: ribosomal RNA, 566 nt
Filed under: uncultured bacterium
Lineage: Bacteria
Description: bacterial SSU rRNA
Rfam family: Bacterial small subunit ribosomal RNA
Source: RNAcentral
GGGCCCGCACAAGCGGCGGAGCAUGCGGAUUAAUUCGAUGCAACGCGAAGAACCUUACCGAGGCUUGACAUGUGCCGGAAAAGUGCAGAGAUGUGCUCCCCGCAAGGUCGGUACACAGGUGGUGCAUGGUUGUCGUCAGCUCGUGUCGUGAGAUGUUGGGUUAAGUCCCGCAACGAGCGCAACCCUCGUUCUAUGUUGCCAGCACGUGAUGGUGGGGACUCAUAGGAGACUGCCGGGGUCAACUCGGAGGAAGGUGGGGAUGACGUCAAAUCAUCAUGCCCCUUAUGUCUUGGGCUUCACGCAUGCUACAAUGGCCAGUACAAAGGGCUGCGAUACCGCAAGGUGGAGCGAAUCCCAAAAAACUGGUCUCAGUUCGGAUUGGGGUCUGCAACUCGACCCCAUGAAGUCGGAGUCGCUAGUAAUCGCAGAUCAGCAACGCUGCGGUGAAUACGUUCCCGGGCCUUGUACACACCGCCCGUCAAGUCACGAAAGUCGGUAACACCCGAAGCCGGUGGCCCAACUCGUAAGAGGGGGAGCCGUCGAAGGUGGGACUGGCGAUUGGGACU